RNAcentral lists this ribosomal RNA (99 nucleotides) under uncultured bacterium. RNAcentral's name for it is "partial 16S ribosomal RNA". It matches the Rfam family "Bacterial small subunit ribosomal RNA", at positions 1386 to 1482 of the family's 1533-position model. The record is from RNAcentral.
CACACCGCCCGUCACAUCACGAAAGUGGAUUGUACUAGAAGUCCGCACACCAACCCGCAAGGGGGGUAGCGGCCCAAGGUAUGAUUCAUGAUUGGGGUG